This 305-nucleotide ribosomal RNA is filed under the name uncultured bacterium. Its description in RNAcentral is "bacterial SSU rRNA". It matches the Rfam family "Bacterial small subunit ribosomal RNA", at positions 333 to 655 of the family's 1533-position model. The record is from RNAcentral.
CGUAUCCUACGGGACGCAGCAGUGGGGAAUAUUGCACAAUGGGGGGAACCCUGAUGCAGCGACGCCGCGUGAGUGAAGAAGUAUUUCGGUAUGUAAAGCUCUAUCAGCAGGGAAGAAAAUGACGGUACCUGACUAAGAAGCCCCGGCUAACUACGUGCCAGCAGCCGCGGUAAUACGUAGGGGGCAAGCGUUAUCCGGAUUUACUGGGUGUAAAGGGAGCGUAGACGGCAGAGCAAGUCUGAAGUGAAAGCCCGCGGCCCAACUGCGGGACUGCUUUGGAAACUGUUAAGCUGGAGUACAGGAGG